AGGUUCAACGACCUUCGCUUCGUGGGCCGCAGUGGGCGACCGUUCGAUGUAUACAUACAAAUGUCAGCCAUAUUUUGACUUUUCAGCAUUAAUUAAAACCAGGACAUUAUUUGCAUGUAAUAACUGUUUACUUGUUACUUUUUAUGAAACUGAAAUAGUUUACAUUCUUUCAAACAUUUCCUGUUCCUGUUGGCUCCCUUCCCCACACACAGAUUU
RNAcentral lists this long non-coding RNA (216 nucleotides) under Homo sapiens (human). Its description in RNAcentral is "non-protein coding lnc-SYF2-7:1". The record is from RNAcentral. Lineage: Eukaryota; Metazoa; Chordata; Mammalia; Primates; Hominidae.